ACUCUAAGCGGUGGAUCACUCGGCUCAUGGGUCGAUGAAGAACGCAGCAAACUGUGCGUCAUCGUGUGAACUGCAGGACACAUGAACAUCGACAUUUUGAACGCAUAUCGCAGUCCAUGCUGUUAUGUACUUUAAUUAAUUUUAUAGUGCUGCUUGGACUACAUAUGGUUGAGGGUUGUAAGACUAUGCUAAUUAAGUUGCUUAUAAAUUUUUAUAAGCAUAUGGUAUAUUAUUGGAUAAAUAUAAUAAUUUUUAUUCAUAAUAUUAAAAAAUAAAUGAAAAACAUUAUCUCACAUUUGAAUGUGAAAAACGAAGAGAAAUAUUUUCUUUUUCAAUCAAAUAAUACUGAGAAAUGUCUAGCAUAAAAAAUUGAAAUAUUUUUCAUCUAGAAUUGUCUCUUAUUAAUGAUUCGGAAAUAGAAAAAUCUUGGUUAUGUUAUUAUUCUUCGUUGGUUCGUUAAAAAUGGAUAAAUAAAAACUUUGCAUACAAGAAUUAAUAAAAAUGUUAUAACGAAUUUAAUUAAAUGUUUUAUCAUUAUAUAUAAAGAAUUUAUGGCAAGAUAAAGUUAUAUACAACCUCAACUCAUAUGGGACUACCCCCUGAAUUUAAGCAUAUUAAUUAGGGGAGGAAAAGAAACUAACAAGGAUUUUCUUAGUAGCGGCGAGCGAAAAGAAAACAGUUCAGCACUAAGUCACUUUGUCUAUAUGGCAAAUGUGAGAUGCAGUGUAUGGAGCGUCAAUAUUCUAGUAUGAGAAAUUAACGAUUUAAGUCCUUCUUAAAUGAGGCCAUUUACCCAUAGAGGGUGCCAGGCCCGUAUAACGUUAAUGAUUACUAGAUGAUGUUUCCAAAGAGUCGUGUUGCUUGAUAGUGCAGCACUAAGUGGGUGGUAAACUCCAUCUAAAACUAAAUAUAACCAUGAGACCGAUAGUAAACAAGUACCGUGAGGGAAAGUUGAAAAGAACUCUGAAUAGAGAGUUAAACAGUACGUGAAACUGCUUAGAGGUUAAGCCCGAUGAACCUGAAUAUCCGUUAUGGAAAAUUCAUCAUUAAAAUUGUAAUAUUUAAAUAAUAUUAUGAGAAUAGUGUGCAUUUUUUCCAUAUAAGGACAUUGUAAUCUAUUAGCAUAUACCAAAUUUAUCAUAAAAUAUAACUUAUAGUUUAUUCCAAUUAAAUUGCUUGCAUUUUAACACAGAAUAAAUGUUAUUAAUUUGAUAAAGUGCUGAUAGAUUUAUAUGAUUACAGUGCGUUAAUUUUUCGGAAUUAUAUAAUGGCAUAAUUAUCAUUGAUUUUUGUGUUUAUUAUAUGCACUUGUAUGAUUAACAAUGCGAAAGAUUCAGGAUACCUUCGGGACCCGUCUUGAAACACGGACCAAGGAGUCUAACAUAUGUGCAAGUUAUUGGGAUAUAAACCUAAUAGCGUAAUUAACUUGACUAAUAAUGGGAUUAGUUUUUUAGCUAUUUAUAGCUAAUUAACACAAUCCCGGGGCGUUCUAUAUAGUUAUGUAUAAUGUAUAUUUAUAUUAUUUAUGCCUCUAACUGGAACGUACCUUGAGCAUAUAUGCUGUGACCCGAAAGAUGGUGAACUAUACUUGAUCAGGUUGAAGUCAGGGGAAACCCUGAUGGAAGACCGAAACAGUUCUGACGUGCAAAUCGAUUGUCAGAAUUGAGUAUAGGGGCGAAAGACCAAUCGAACCAUCUAGUAGCUGGUUCCUUCCGAAGUUUCCCUCAGGAUAGCUGGUGCAUUUUAAUAUUAUAUAAAAUAAUCUUAUCUGGUAAAGCGAAUGAUUAGAGGCCUUAGGGUCGAAACGAUCUUAACCUAUUCUCAAACUUUAAAUGGGUAAGAACCUUAACUUUCUUGAUAUGAAGUUCAAGGUUAUGAUAUAAUGUGCCCAGUGGGCCACUUUUGGUAAGCAGAACUGGCGCUGUGGGAUGAACCAAACGUAAUGUUACGGUGCCCAAAUUAACAACUCAUGCAGAUACCAUGAAAGGCGUUGGUUGCUUAAAACAGCAGGACGGUGAUCAUGGAAGUCGAAAUCCGCUAAGGAGUGUGUAACAACUCACCUGCCGAAGCAACUAGCCCUUAAAAUGGAUGGCGCUUAAGUUGUAUACCUAUACAUUACCGCUAAAGUAGAUGAUUUAUAUUACUUGUGAUAUAAAUUUUGAAACUUUAGUGAGUAGGAAGGUACAAUGGUAUGCGUAGAAGUGUUUGGCGUAAGCCUGCAUGGAGCUGCCAUUGGUACAGAUCUUGGUGGUAGUAGCAAAUAAUCGAAUGAGACCUUGGAGGACUGAAGUGGAGAAGGGUUUCGUGUGAACAGUGGUUGAUCACGAGUUAGUCGGUCCUAAGUUCAAGGCGAAAGCCGAAAAUUUUCAAGUAAAACAAAAAUGCCUAACUAUAUAAACAAAGCGAAUUAUAAUACACUUGAAUAAUUUUGAACGAAAGGGAAUACGGUUCCAAUUCCGUAACCUGUUGAGUAUCCGUUUGUUAUUAAAUAUGGGCCUCGUGCUCAUCCUGGCAACAGGAACGACCAUAAAGAAGCCGUCGAGAGAUAUCGGAAGAGUUUUCUUUUCUGUUUUAUAGCCGUACUACCAUGGAAGUCUUUCGCAGAGAGAUAUGGUAGAUGGGCUAGAAGAGCAUGACAUAUACUGUUGUGUCGAUAUUUUCUCCUCGGACCUUGAAAAUUUAUGGUGGGGACACGCAAACUUCUCAACAGGCCGUACCAAUAUCCGCAGCUGGUCUCCAAGGUGAAGAGUCUCUAGUCGAUAGAAUAAUGUAGGUAAGGGAAGUCGGCAAAUUAGAUCCGUAACUUCGGGAUAAGGAUUGGCUCUGAAGAUUGAGAUAGUCGGGCUUGAUUGGGAAACAAUAACAUGGUUUAUGUGCUCGUUCUGGGUAAAUAGAGUUUCUAGCAUUUAUGUUAGUUACUUGUUCCCCGGAUAGUUUAGUUACGUAGCCAAUUGUGGAACUUUCUUGCUAAAAUUUUUAAGAAUACUAUUUGGGUUAAACCAAUUAGUUCUUAUUAAUUAUAACGAUUAUCAAUUAACAAUCAAUCAGAACUGGCACGGACUUGGGGAAUCCGACUGUCUAAUUAAAACAAAGCAUUGUGAUGGCCCUAGCGGGUGUUGACACAAUGUGAUUUCUGCCCAGUGCUCUGAAUGU
RNAcentral lists this ribosomal RNA (3153 nucleotides) under Drosophila melanogaster (fruit fly). RNAcentral's name for it is "eukaryotic LSU rRNA". The stretch from base 573 to 3153 matches the Rfam family "Eukaryotic large subunit ribosomal RNA", at positions 1 to 2217 of the family's 3401-position model. Lineage: Eukaryota; Metazoa; Arthropoda; Insecta; Diptera; Drosophilidae. The record is from RNAcentral.